This 1353-nucleotide ribosomal RNA is filed under the name Belliella filtrata. RNAcentral's name for it is "partial 23S ribosomal RNA". It matches the Rfam family "Bacterial large subunit ribosomal RNA", at positions 146 to 1517 of the family's 2925-position model. Lineage: Bacteria; Pseudomonadati; Bacteroidota; Cytophagia; Cytophagales; Cyclobacteriaceae. The record is from RNAcentral.
GGAUAUUCCGCAAGGAAGGCAAACCCGGGGAACUGAAACAUCUAAGUACCCGGAGGAAGAGAAAACAACAGUGAUUCCGAGAGUAGUGGCGAGCGAAAUUGGAACAGCCCAAACCGAUGCUGUUACGGCAGCGUCGGGGUUAUAGGACCGACAUAAAUUAUGAUCAAGAGACAGGAAAUGUUUGGGAAGGCAUAUCGUAGAGGGUGACAAUCCCGUACUGGAAUUUUGAUUAUGGUGGUUGGUAUCCUGAGUAGGUCGGGACAGGAGAAAUCCCGAUUGAAUUAUCCGGCACCAUCCGGAAAGGCUAAAUACUCCUGAGAGACCGAUAGUGAACAAGUACCGUGAGGGAAAGGUGAAAAGUACCGUGAAUAACGGGGUGAAAUAGAACCUGAAACCGUGCGCUUACAAGCGGUCGGAGCUACUAAGUGUAGUGACGGCGUGCCUUUUGCAUAAUGAGCCUACGAGUUACUCGUCACUGGCGAGGAUAAGGAAUUAAGUUCUGUAUCCGGAGCGAAAGCGAGUCUGAAUAGGGCGCUUAGUCAGUGGCGGUAGACGCGAAACUUUGUGAUCUACCCAUGGACAGGUUGAAGUACUGGUAACACAGUAUGGAGGACCGAACCGAUAAACGUUGAAAAGUUUCCGGAUGAUCUGUGGGUAGGGGUGAAAGGCCAAUCAAACUGAGAAAUAGCUCGUACUCCCCGAAAUGUUUUUAGGAACAGCGUCGUGGAAUGUAUGUCGGAGGUAGAGCUACCGAUAGGACUAGGGGGAGUCAUAUCCUACCAAAUCCUGACGAACUCCGAAUGCCGACAUACAGUAACGGCAGUGAGGGCUUGGGUGCUAAGGUCCGAGUCCGAGAGGGAAAGAACCCAGACCUACCGCUAAGGUCCCAAAAUUUACACUAAGUUGAACAAAGGUGGUCCAGCUGCAGAGACAGCCAGGAGGUUAGCUUGGAAGCAGCUAUUCCUUUAAAGAGUGCGUAACAGCUCACUGGUCGAGCGGCAGGGCGUCGAUAAUAAUCGGGCAUCAAGUGUAAUACCGAAGCGUAGGAUUGAUACCAAGUAUCAGUGGUAGGGGAGCAUUCCAAUAGCAGAGAAGGUGCAUGGCGAUGUGCAUUGGAGCGAUUGGAAAAGCAAAUGUAGGCAUAAGUAACGAUAAUGCGGGCGAGAAACCCGCACACCGAUAGACCAAGGUUUCCUGAUCAACGCUAAUCGGAUCAGGGUCAGUCGGGACCUAAGGCGAAGCCGAACGGCGUAGUCGAUGGCAAAUGGGUUAAUAUUCCCAUACUUGAUAUACAGGUGAUGGAGUGACGGAGUGAUGAAAGACACGCCCGGUGACGGAAUACCGGGUUAAAGC